AGUUCCACCGUAGAAGGUAAUAGUCCUGUAAGUGAAACGAGAAGACCACGAGUUAUGAUCCAGAGUACCACGAGACACGUGAAACCUUGUGGGAAGCAGGGAGGACCACCUCCCAAGGCUAAAUACUACCUGAUGACCGAUAGUGAAGCAGUACCGUGAGGGAAAGGUGAAAAGAACCCCGGGAGGGGAGUGAAAUAGAACCUGAAACCGUGUGCCUACAACCGCUCAGAGCCCCUUAUGAGGGUGAUGAGGUGCUUUUUGUAGAACGAGCCAACGAGUUACGGUAUGUAGCAAGGUUAAGUACUUAAGGUACGGAGCCGAAGGGAAACCGAGUCUGAAUAGGGCGACUAGUUGCAUGCCGUAGACCCGAAACCGGGUGACCUAUCCAUGGCCAGGUUGAAGCGAGGGUAAAACCUCGUGGAGGACCGAACCACGUUGCUGUUGAAAAAGCAUGGGAUGAGCUGUGGAUAGCGGAGAAAUUCCAAUCGAACCCGGAGAUAGCUGGUUCUCUCCGAAAUAGCUUUAGGGCUAGCGUCGAGUAUGAGUAGUGGAGGUAGAGCACUGAAUGGGCUAGGGGGCAUAGCGCUUACCGAACCUUAUCAAACUCCGAAUGCCACAUACUUUGAGCUCGGCAGUCAGACUACGAAUGAUAAGAUCCGUGGUCAAAAGGGAAACAGCCCAGAUCGUCAGCUAAGGUCCCAAAGUGUAAGUUAAGUGGGAAAGGAUGUGAGAUUUCUAAGACAACUAGGAUGUUGGCUUAGAAGCAGCCAUUCAUUAAAAGAGUGCGUAAUAGCUCACUAGUCGAGAGAUCUUGCGCCGAAAAUGUAACGGGGCUAAACUUACCACCGAAGCUACGGGCUUGAACUUAGUUCAAGCGGUAGGAGAGCGUCGUAACCGGGCUGAAGUCGUACCGUAAGGAGCGGUGGACUGGUUACGAGUGAGAAUGUUGGCAUCAGUAGCGAGAUGUGGGUGAGAAUCCCACAGGCCGAAAACCUAAGGUUUCCUCAGGAAGGUUCGUCCGCUGAGGGUUAGUCGGGACCUAAGCCGAGGCCGAAAGGCGUAGGUGAUGGACAACUGGUUGAUAUUCCAGUACCACUACCAUCGUUAUUAUCGAUGGCGUGACGCAGGAGGAUAGUGUGUGCUAGCUAUUGGAUGCUAGUCUAAGCGUUUAGGCAGUGAGAGUAGGCAAAUCCGCUCUCAUAAUGCUGAGGCGUGAUGGGGAAGGUUCCACGGAACCGAAGUACAUGAUUCCACGCUGCCAAGAAAAGCGUCUAGAGAGAGAAGUAGUGCCCGUACCGCAAACCGACACAGGUAGGUGAGGAGAGAAUCCUAAGGCCGGCGGAAGAAUUACAGUUAAGGAACUCGGCAAAUUGACCCCGUAAGUUCGCGAGAAGGGGUGCCUACGAGAGUAGGCCGCAGAGAAUAGGCCCAAGCAACUGUUUAGCAAAAACACAGGUCUCUGCUAAAGCGUAAGCUGAUGUAUAGGGGCUGACGCCUGCCCGGUGCUGGAAGGUUAAGGGGAACACUUAGCGCAAGCGAAGGUGUGAACUUAAGCCCCAGUAAACGGCGGCCGUAACUAUAACGGUCCUAAGGUAGCGAAAUUCCUUGUCAGGUAAGUUCUGACCCGCACGAAUGGCGUAAUGACUUGGGCACUGUCUCAACUGUAAAUCCGGCGAAGUUGUAGUGCGAGUGAAGAUGCUCGCUACCCGCGAUUGGACGGAAAGACCCCGUAGAGCUUUACUGUAGCUUAGCAUUGAGUUUUGGUAUUGUCUGUACAGGAUAGGUGGGAGACUAGGAAACCAGGGCGUCAGCCUUGGUGGAGUCAACCUUGGGAUACCACCCUGACAGUACUGAAAUUCUAACUGGCGGCCAUGAAUCUGGUCACAGGACAUUGUUAGGUGGGCAGUUUGACUGGGGCGGUCGCCUCCUAAAAAGUAACGGAGGCGCCCAAAGGUUCCCUCAGAACGGUCGGAAAUCGUUCGAAGAGUGCAAAGGCAGAAGGGAGCCUGACUGCGACACCCACAAGUGGAGCAGGGACGAAAGUCGGGCUUAGUGAUCCGGUGGUACCUCGUGGGAGGGCCAUCGCUCAACGGAUAAAAGCUACCUCGGGGAUAACAGGCUGAUCUCCCCCAAGAGUCCACAUCGACGGGGAGGUUUGGCACCUCGAUGUCGGCUCGUCGCAUCCUGGGGCUGAAGUAGGUCCCAAGGGUUGGGCUGUUCGCCCAUUAAAGCGGCACGCGAGCUGGGUUCAGAACGUCGUGAGACAGUUCGGUCCCUAUCCGUCGCGGGCGUAGGAAAUUUGAGAGGAGCUGUCCUUAGUACGAGAGGACCGGGAUGGACUGACCUCUGGUGUACCAGUUGUUCCGCCAGGAGCACAGCUGGGUAGCUAAGUCGGGAAUGGAUAAACGCUGAAAGCAUCUAAGCGUGAAGCCAACCUCAAGAUGAGAUUUCCCAUAGCGUAAGCUAGUAAGAUCCCUUGA
Molecule: ribosomal RNA, 2480 nt
Filed under: Clostridium perfringens B str. ATCC 3626
Lineage: Bacteria; Bacillati; Bacillota; Clostridia; Eubacteriales; Clostridiaceae
Description: bacterial LSU rRNA
Rfam family: Bacterial large subunit ribosomal RNA
Source: RNAcentral